ACGGGAGGCAGCAGUGGGGAAUAUUGCACAAUGGGGGGAACCCUGAUGCAGCGAUGCCGCGUGGAGGAAGAAGGUUUUCGGAUUGUAAACUCCUGUCUUAAGGGACGAUAAUGACGGUACCUUAGGAGGAAGCUCCGGCUAACUACGUGCCAGCAGCCGCGGUAAUACGUAGGGAGCGAGCGUUGUCCGGAAUUACUGGGUGUAAAGGGAGCGUAGGCGGGAUGGCAAGUCAGAUGUGAAAACUAUGGGCUUAACCCAUAGACUGCAUUUGAAACUGUCGUUCUUGAGUGAAGUAGAGGUAAGCGGAAUUCCUAGUGUAGCGGUGAAAUGCGUAGAUAUUAGGAGGAACACCAGUGGCGAAGGCGGCUUGCUGGACGACAACUGACGCUGAGGCGCGAAAGCGUGGGGAGCAAACAGGAUUAGAUACCCUGGUA
Molecule: ribosomal RNA, 434 nt
Filed under: uncultured Ruminococcus sp.
Lineage: Bacteria; Bacillati; Bacillota; Clostridia; Eubacteriales; Oscillospiraceae
Description: partial 16S ribosomal RNA
Rfam family: Bacterial small subunit ribosomal RNA
Source: RNAcentral